GAAACGGUAGCUAAUACCGCAUAACGUCGCAAGACCAAAGAGGGGGACCUUCGGGCCUCUUGCCAUCGGAUGUGCCCAGAUGGGAUUAGCUUGUUGGUGAGGUAACGGCUCACCAAGGCGACGAUCCCUAGCUGGUCUGAGAGGAUGACCAGCCACACUGGAACUGAGACACGGUCCAGACUCCUACGGGAGGCAGCAGUGGGGAAUAUUGCACAAUGGGCGCAAGCCUGAUGCAGCCAUGCCGCGUGUAUGAAGAAGGCCUUCGGGUUGUAAAGUACUUUCAGCGGGGAGGAAGGGAGUAAAGUUAAUACCUUUGCUCAUUGACGUUACCCGCAGAAGAAGCACCGGCUAACUCCGUGCCAGCAGCCGCGGUAAUACGGAGGGUGCAAGCGUUAAUCGGAAUUACUGGGC
Molecule: ribosomal RNA, 411 nt
Filed under: Escherichia albertii
Lineage: Bacteria; Pseudomonadati; Pseudomonadota; Gammaproteobacteria; Enterobacterales; Enterobacteriaceae
Description: partial 16S ribosomal RNA
Rfam family: Bacterial small subunit ribosomal RNA
Source: RNAcentral